AUGGACGCGGGGAGCGCCGUCGAGGCGGGGCGGCAGGAGGGGACUCCCACGGGGCCCGCGGCGCCGUUCGGCAGGUCGUCGUCGUCGUCGGGUCUCGGCGCGAAGGGCGGCGCGACACCCCAGAGCUUCGACGGCGCGCUCAGAGAGCUCAAGGAUCUGCAGUCGCAGCUGCACCAGGCGGCGGACUGCUGCGAGAAGGCGUUCCUCAACACCGAGAAGAAGCAGCUAAUCCUGGACAGUACAAAGAGCUACAUCUGCGACGCGGUAGUAGCGGUGAUCGAUCAUCUGGGGACCGUCUCAUCCAAGCUUGAGCACCAGCUGGAGGACAAGGCUGAGAUCACGCAAACAGAGCAAAAGAUCAGCUUCCUCAAGCAGAGGCUCUUGACAUGCGAACAGUAUGCAAUUUCCCUCCAACUAUUGGCCGUUCGUGCGGACACUGGCGCCGUUCAAUAUCAUCGCCGUUACCUCUCGCAAUCUACUGAAAGAAACAACCAGGAAAAUGUUGCCAAGUCAAGCAGAGGUGACCCAGAACCCUUCAAGCUCAAUAGCACAGUGGCGCCAGGAGCUACUCGCACUCUGAAGCCAUAUGAUGUUGAAUCAACCAUGGGGAGGGAGCAUGCCGUGGCGGGUGCAGACGUUGGAAACCCAGCAUCCAUAACGAGGUCAUUUUCCUUCAGAGCAGAGGAUGUUCAAAUUGCUGCAGGGGGUCAUCACAAGAAGAAGAAGAAAAGUAGCCAUGGCAGCAACAUCAUGUCAUUUCUCAAAAGAAGCAAGCGACAUGCGUAA
RNAcentral lists this ribosomal RNA (786 nucleotides) under Triticum aestivum (bread wheat). Its description in RNAcentral is "partial small subunit ribosomal RNA". The record is from RNAcentral. Lineage: Eukaryota; Viridiplantae; Streptophyta; Magnoliopsida; Poales; Poaceae.